This 445-nucleotide ribosomal RNA is filed under the name Cherax robustus. Its description in RNAcentral is "partial 16S ribosomal RNA". It matches the Rfam family "Archaeal large subunit ribosomal RNA", at positions 2009 to 2653 of the family's 2987-position model. Lineage: Eukaryota; Metazoa; Arthropoda; Malacostraca; Decapoda; Parastacidae. The record is from RNAcentral.
CGCGGUAUUGUGACCGUGCAAAGGUAGCAUAAUCAUUAGUCUUUUAAUUGAAGGCUGGUAUGAAUGGUUGGACGAGAAAUUAACUGUCUCAAAUUUUGAAAAUUGAAUUUUACUUUUAAGUGAGAAGGCUUAAAUGUGCUAGAGGGACGAUAAGACCCUAUAAAGUUUUGUACAUUAAACCAAUUAAUAGGCGAUUUAGGUUUGUAAGGUUUACUAUUAGGUAGAUGUUUGGUUGGGGCGACUAGGAUAUAAGUUAUUUAACUGUUCUUUGUUAGAAUCAAAGGUAUUUGAGUUUAUGAUCCUUUUUAAGGGUUAUAGAAUAAAUUACUUUAGGGAUAACAGCGUAAUUUUUUUUGAGAGUUCCUAUCGACAAAAGAGUUUGCGACCUCGAUGUUGAAUUAAAAUUUCUUUGUGGCGUAGAAGUUACAGGAGAAGGUCUGUUCGA